AGUGUGGGAAUUUUAAGAGCAGGAUAAGUCUGGAAAACCAUUGCAUGCUUGAAGGAAGAGAUGAGGUCCACUGGAUAAAAAUCUGUAGCGUCAUCCAACUUCAAGAAUUGCAGGAAGUUGAGCAGAAACCAAUUAGACAUUUGUUUGAAAUUUUUCUGCACAAUGAAUUACAAAUUGGUAAGAUAACAAUUUCUAUGUGAGUUUAGAACUCCAAAAUCUAAAGCUGAAACCUAAUUUUCUACAUCCACCAGAAAGCUAAAUUCACAGAAGAACAUAGAGGAUUGAAUUGGGCUGCAACAAUAUAAAUUUGGAAAAAAAAAAAGCAGUUAAGUUAGAAGGAUACCGUCCUUGUUUUGUCAAACACUAAAAUUAUGAGAAUUCUUGGUUGGAACCCUCAGAUAACCACUUAUAAUCUCAAACAUAGUCAUAAUGCUACUUCCGAUGAAGUAGAAAUCACCAAAUAAAUGAACCAGGAUUGAGUAGGGUCACCCAUCAUAAUCUCAGACCACACAACUCAAUGACAACCACAACUGAAAUUUUGUAACACAUACCCAAUACCCGAUCUGAGCAAAUUUUGCAUGUUGACCAUAACCUGAUCCAAAUCCUACAAUUCGGUUCUCAAGAGACCAAGAGAUAUCAAGAUUCAUAAUCAAUAUACAUUCUGUUACAACGCAAGCCAAGGAACUCGCCGCAAGCCAUACCUAAACAUGAGCAACCACUAACAAGGUUAGAUGCCAACAUGACAUUCUUCUCUGACCUAGAUUUGCUCCUCCAUCAAACUGAGAUAUGAAGAGGAUUACCUAUAAAUAGAGCCUCCCAAGAUGCUUUAAAUGCUUAAUUACAUAGAGCCAAAAAUCAUCCUCAAGCCUCUCCUGCUAAUUCAUGAAAACCAACAAUUGCUAGCUAAAUCUUAUCUAAACAUGAGCAAAGCUAUCCAUAAGAAGUAUCCAAUAAUGUUGACUGUCUAUCAGACUAGCUCAAUUAUUUAAUUUUUCUAAUUUACUACUACUUCCAUUCAAAUAAUACAUAAACUUGAAUUUUUGACCUAUGAACUACACACACUAUGCCUUAAUAAUUAGGAUGUCUCAAAUAAAACAAAAUCUUAUGGUUAAAUGAAACUUCCCUUGAAACUAGUAUCUGAUCUAGUUUCAUCCAUCAAAUUUAUGAACAAGGAAAAGUGAAAAUAGAAUAAGUAGAUCCAUCACAGAGGAUCUUUUGGUCAUCUUAAACUAAUUGAACAUGAGUUUGAGAGAAAAAUCAAGAUCUUGUACUCUAACUAGCUUAUAAACAAUUUCGCUGCUGCAAAAUCUCAUGUUACUUCCAACAAAUUCUUUGUACCAGUAUCUAAUCCCUUUGUAACAGUUUCAUGGCAACCUGUGCUAGCCAAAUGACUCAACUAGACCAAGCUUUCUUGCCAAGUAUCCAUCUUAUUCAUGCUUCAAACUCGAAAGAGUGUCAAUAAACUUCAUGCAUUAUUAUAAAUCAAACCAUAUAGGUUUGCGAUGUUGAAAUUAUAACAAAAAUUUGCUAGCAUUAUAACGACUCAACUAGAUAAAGCUUGCUUGUCAAGUAUCCAUCUUAUCCAUGCUUCAAACUCCAAAAGAGAGUCAAUAAGCUUCAUGCAUUAUUAUAUAUCUAUGUUGAAAUUAUAACAAAAGGUCACAACAUUCAAACGAUUUACAUGAUCUGAAGUCCACUCUAAGACAAGUUGACCAGAUAAGGAAGCAAAAGCGGACAAAAAAGAUAGCAUAACAUUCCUCAUUGUGAAAAAGAAAGCUUUGAAAUUUCAGAUAAUUUUACCAUUAUCGCUUCAAACAACAAUGAGUAUGCAUAACAUCAUACACAAUCCAAGUUUUUUGUAUCCUUAUCAAAUUGGAAAACUAGAAAAAAAUCUCUACUACUUCAAAAUACAAGAAGUAUACACUCAUCAUAACAAACACAAUUAGUUUUUGUUUCCUUACACUAUCAAGAAAUCAGGAGAAACAGCUUAAGAGUAUAUUCCCCAAGCGUUCACCUGACAAAAUUCCCCACCUUGCAUCUAAAGUUAACCACAUCAAUAUACGUUUUCCUACUACUAUGCUAAGAGCUAUUGUAGCUACGAAUGCUUAAGCUUACAAAAACAGCAUGAAGAUAAAAAAUCUACACAAAGAUAAUGAUGAAGCUCAAAGGACAGAGCAUUACUAUCUUUUGACCUAAAAAACCCAAAAAGAACGAAUUAGGAUAUUGAUAUUUGAAACCCACAACAACCGUGGCCACACACCCAGAUUUAGUCAUCGCCUAAUCUUUACUAGGCUUAACCAAAGAGAAACCAACAAACGCCAGAUUCAUAAGCUGCAGAGCAGAUCCACCAGACAGCAAGAGGAAGCACGGCCACCUGGUUCCAAAUGCACGAUACAAACGAAAAAAAACAACGCGACGAUCAGAUUCUUGCAUCGAGCAAAGCCCUCCCUAGUCCACCUACCGAAACGAGAUGGAGAGCUAGGGAUCGGAGAACCGAUACCUGGGCACGCAGACGCAGACGCAGACGCUGACGCUGGCGUCGAGCCCGUCGAUCCGAAGAAUCAGACGAUCGUCGACGUUCGUUUGCCACCGCUACGGCAAUCUUCCCCUCUUC
This 2614-nucleotide long non-coding RNA is filed under the name Musa acuminata (dwarf banana). RNAcentral's name for it is "long non-coding RNA (MACU_LNC003518)". Lineage: Eukaryota; Viridiplantae; Streptophyta; Magnoliopsida; Zingiberales; Musaceae. The record is from RNAcentral.